CCUACGGGAGUCUGCAGUGAGGAAUAUUGGUCAAUGGGCGCGAGCCUGAACCAGCCAAGUCGCGUGAGGGAAGACGGUCCUAUGGAUUGUAAACAUCUUUUGUCGGGGAGCAAAAGACGCCACGUGUGGCGUUCCGAGAGUACCCGAAGAAAAAGCAUCGGCUAACUCCGUGCCAGCAGCCGCGGUAAUACGGAGGAUGCGAGCGUUAUCCGGAUUUAUUGGGUUAAAAGGGUGCGCAGGCGGAAGAUCAAGUCAGCGGUAAAAUUGGGAGGCUCAACCUCUUCGAGCCGUUGAAACUGGUUGUCUUGAGUGAGCGAGAAGUAUGCGGAAUGCGUGGUGUAGCGGUGAAAUGCAUAGAUAUCACGCAGAACUCCGAUUGCGAAGGCAGCAUACCGGCGCUCAACUGACGCUCAUGCACGAAAGUGUGGGUAUCGAACAGGAUUAGAUACCCUGGUAGUC
RNAcentral lists this ribosomal RNA (459 nucleotides) under uncultured bacterium. Its description in RNAcentral is "partial 16S ribosomal RNA". It matches the Rfam family "Bacterial small subunit ribosomal RNA", at positions 338 to 795 of the family's 1533-position model. The record is from RNAcentral.